GACGAACGCUGGCGGCGUGCUUAACACAUGCAAGUCGAGCGGUAAGGCACCUUCGGGUGUACACGAGCGGCGAACGGGUGAGUAACACGUGAGUAAUCUGCCCUUCACUUCGGGAUAACCGCCGGAAACGGUGGCUAAUACCGGAUACGACGCGCUCUCGCAUGAGAUGUGCGUGGAAAGUCUUAUCGGUGGAGGAUGUGCUCGCGGCCUAUCAGCUAGUUGGGNGGGUAACGGCCUACCAAGCUUCGACGGGUAGCCGGUCCUGAGAGGGUGACCGGCCACACUGGGACGUGAGACACGGCCC
RNAcentral lists this ribosomal RNA (304 nucleotides) under uncultured bacterium. RNAcentral describes it as "bacterial SSU rRNA". It matches the Rfam family "Bacterial small subunit ribosomal RNA", at positions 28 to 332 of the family's 1533-position model. The record is from RNAcentral.